AACAAACAACUACUGGAACUUGUUGGCGAGGGAGUGUUCAGGGGCCCUGAACACUCCCACGAGAGAGAGACUGCAUUACAUAUCAGCCUAAAAGGCUUUUCCUGGACUAAAGUUAAAAGGAGGGGCUUAAAAGGACUGAUAGAAGUGUAAUAUAUAUAUAUAUAUAUAGUUGCUUUUGGCUUGUAUAGUAUUUAUUUGUGUAAAUAAAUGUAUAUACUUCCCC
Neopelma chrysocephalum (saffron-crested tyrant-manakin) is the source of this 223-nucleotide long non-coding RNA. RefSeq lists it as uncharacterized. NCBI's taxonomy places the organism in Eukaryota, Metazoa, Chordata, Aves, Passeriformes, Pipridae. The record is from RefSeq and is a predicted model, not a curated record. The transcript is spliced from 4 exons.